GAAAUGCGAUAAGUAGUGUGAAUUGCAGAAUUCAGUGAAUCAUCGAAUCUUUGAACGCACAUUGCGCCCCUUGGUAUUCCAUGGGGCAUGCCUGUUCGAGCGUCAUUUGUACCCUCAAGCUCUGCUUGGUGUUGGGUGUUUGUCCCGUAUUUCUCGCGUGGACUCGCCUUAAAGCAAUUGGCAGCCGGCAUAAUGGCCUGGGAGCGCAGCACAUUUUGCGCUUCUGGUCAUGCUUGUUGGCAUCCAGCAAGUCUACAUUUUAGCUCUUGACCUCGGAUCAGGUAGGGAUACCCGCUGAACUUAA
This 304-nucleotide unclassified non-coding RNA is filed under the name uncultured Dothideomycetes. RNAcentral describes it as "sequence contains ITS1". The stretch from base 1 to 105 matches the Rfam family "5.8S ribosomal RNA", at positions 50 to 154 of the family's 154-position model. The record is from RNAcentral. Lineage: Eukaryota; Fungi; Ascomycota; Dothideomycetes.